UACAUGGCUCAGUCGGUAAAACAUGAGACUCUUAAUCCCAGGGUUGUAGGUUCAAGCUCCACACUGGGCAAAG
This is a non-coding RNA of Podarcis lilfordi (Lilford's wall lizard), 73 nucleotides long. Lineage: Eukaryota; Metazoa; Chordata; Lepidosauria; Squamata; Lacertidae. The record is from the annotation of a GenBank genome assembly.